UUAGAUUUUAUUUAUUAAUUUAUUUUAUUAAAUUUUUAAAUUAUUAAAAAUAAUUAUAAAAAGUAAAGUUUUAGUAUUGUUUAAAGAAAAAAUAAAUUUUAUAAUAGUUAAGUAGUAUUGUGAAAGAAAAUUGAAAUAUUGUGAAAAAUUUUUAUUUAAAAAGAAAAUUUAAUUUAUUGUACCUUGUGUAUCAGUGUUUAUUAAAUAAAAAAUAUAGAUAUAUUUUUCUCGAUUUUAAAAGAGUUAAUGUAAUAUAAAAGUUAAUGUGGUAAAAUUAUUUUAAAUAUUAUAUUAGAAAUGAAAUGUUAUUCGUUUUUAAUGGUAUCUAGUUUUUCAAGAAAUAAAUUAAAUUUAGAAAUUGUAAAUUUAUUUAAAAAUUUAUUUAAUUAGAUAAUUUAUAAUUUUAAUAUUUUAUGGGAUAAGCUAUAAAAUAAAGUUUUAAAAAUAAUAAAUAAAUUUAAUAAAUAUAUGCUUAGAAUUAGCAAUUAUUUUAAAUUAUGUUAUAAUUUAUUUUAUAAAUGAAAUUAUUUAUUGAAUUUUAAAUAUUUAUUGAAAUAAUAAUUUUAAUUAUUAAAAUUAUGAAAUAAUGAUAAAAUUAGUAUAUUAAUAUUGUAUUAUUUAAUAUUAGUGAAAAGUUUAAUUAAAG
Molecule: ribosomal RNA, 646 nt
Filed under: Drosophila canalinea
Lineage: Eukaryota; Metazoa; Arthropoda; Insecta; Diptera; Drosophilidae
Description: partial 16S ribosomal RNA
Source: RNAcentral